UACGAAGGUGGCAAGCGUUGUUCGGAAUCACUGGGCGUAAAGGGUGCGUAGGCGGGCCUUUAAGUCAGGGGUGAAAUCCUGGAGCUCAACUCCAGAACUGCCUUUGAUACUGAAGAUCUUGAGUUCGGGAGAGGUGAGUGGAACUGCGAGUGUAGAGGUGAAAUUCGUAGAUAUUCGCAAGAACACCAGUGGCGAAGGCGGCUCACUGGCCCGAUACUGACGCUGAGGCACGAAAGCGUGGGGAGCAAGCAGG
RNAcentral lists this ribosomal RNA (253 nucleotides) under uncultured bacterium. RNAcentral's name for it is "partial 16S ribosomal RNA". It matches the Rfam family "Bacterial small subunit ribosomal RNA", at positions 524 to 776 of the family's 1533-position model. The record is from RNAcentral.